AACGAACGCUGGCGGCAUGCCUAACACAUGCAAGUCGAACGAGACCUUCGGGUCUAGUGGCGCACGGGUGCGUAACGCGUGGGAACCUGCCCUUAGGUUCGGAAUAACUCCCCGAAAGGGGUGCUAAUACCGGAUAAUGUCUUCGGACCAAAGAUUUAUCGCCUUUGGAUGGGCCCGCGUUGGAUUAGCUAGUUGGUAGGGCAAAAGCCUACCAAGGCGACGAUCCAUAGCUGGUCUGAGAGGAUGAUCAGCCACACUGGGACUGAGACACGGCCCAGACUCCUACGGGAGGCAGCAGUGGGGAAUAGUGGACAAUGGGCGAAAGCCUGAUCCAGCAAUGCCGCGUGAGUGAUGAAGGCCUUAGGGUUGUAAAGCUCUUUUACCCGGGAUGAUAAUGACAGUACCGGGAGAAUAAGCGCCGGCUAACUCCGUG
RNAcentral lists this ribosomal RNA (433 nucleotides) under uncultured bacterium. RNAcentral's name for it is "partial 16S ribosomal RNA". It matches the Rfam family "Bacterial small subunit ribosomal RNA", at positions 29 to 507 of the family's 1533-position model. The record is from RNAcentral.